CCUACGGGGUGCAGCAGUGAGGAAUAUUGGUCAAUGGACGAGAGUCUGAACCAGCCAAGUAGCGUGAAGGAUGACUGCCCUAUGGGUUGUAAACUUCUUUUAUAUGGGAAUAAAAUGUUCCACGUGUGGGAUUUUGUAUGUACCAUAUGAAUAAGGAUCGGCUAACUCCGUGUCAGCAGCCGCGGUAAUACGGAGGAUCCGGGCGUUAUCCGGAUUUGUUGGGUUUAAAGGGAGCGUAGGUGGAUUGUUAAGUCAGUUGUGAAAGUUUGCGGCUCAACCGUAAAAUUGCAGUUGAAACUGGCAGUCUUGAGUACAGUAGAGGUGGGCGGAAUUCGUGGUGUAGCGGUGAAAUGCUUAGAUAUCACGAAGAACUCCGAUUGCGAAGGCAGCUCACUGGACUGCAACUGACACUGAGGCUCGAAAGUGUGGGUAUCAAACAGGAUUAGAUACCCCUGUAGUC
This 460-nucleotide ribosomal RNA is filed under the name uncultured bacterium. RNAcentral describes it as "partial 16S ribosomal RNA". It matches the Rfam family "Bacterial small subunit ribosomal RNA", at positions 338 to 795 of the family's 1533-position model. The record is from RNAcentral.